CGUUCUCAGUUCGGAUCGGAGUCUGCAACCCGACUCCGUGAAGCUGGAUUCGCUAGUAAUCGCGCAUCAGCCAUGGCGCGGUGAAUACGUUCCCGGGCCUUGUACACACCGCCCGUCAAGCCAUGGAAGCCGGGAGUGCCUGAAGUGCGUGAGCGCAAGGAGCGUCCUAAGGUAAAACCGGUGACUGGGGCUAAGUCGUAACAAGGUAUC
Molecule: ribosomal RNA, 210 nt
Filed under: uncultured bacterium
Lineage: Bacteria
Description: partial 16S ribosomal RNA
Rfam family: Bacterial small subunit ribosomal RNA
Source: RNAcentral